CCUACGGGAGGCAGCAGUGAGGAAUAUUCCUCAAUGGACGCAAGUCUGAACCAGCCAUGCCGCGUGCAGGAUGACGGCUCUAUGAGUUGUAAACUGCUUUUGUACGAGGGUACACGCAGAUAAGUGAAUCUGUCUGAAAGUAUCGUACGAUUACGGAACGGCUAACUCCGUGCAAGCCGCCGCGGUAAUACGGAGGAUUCAAGCGUUAUCCGGAUUUAUUGGGUUUACAGGGUGCGUAGGGGGUCGGAUAAGUUAGAGGUGAAAUCCCGAGGCUCAACUUCGGAAUUGCCUCUGAUACUGUUCGGCUAGAGAGUAGUUGCGGUAGGCGGAAUGUAUGGUGUAGCGGUGAAAUGCUUAGAGAUCAUACAGAACACCGAUUGCGAAGGCAGCUUACCAAGCUACUUCUGACGUUGAGGCACGAAAGCGUGGGGAGCAAACAGGAUUAGAUACCCCUGUAGUC
RNAcentral lists this ribosomal RNA (460 nucleotides) under uncultured bacterium. Its description in RNAcentral is "partial 16S ribosomal RNA". It matches the Rfam family "Bacterial small subunit ribosomal RNA", at positions 338 to 795 of the family's 1533-position model. The record is from RNAcentral.